RNAcentral lists this non-coding RNA (27 nucleotides) under Mus musculus (house mouse). Lineage: Eukaryota; Metazoa; Chordata; Mammalia; Rodentia; Muridae. RNAcentral also lists the same sequence under 1 other name. The record is from RNAcentral.
UCAGGGUACCUUGCUUUGAGUUCCUGC